RNAcentral lists this ribosomal RNA (476 nucleotides) under Shigella sonnei. RNAcentral describes it as "partial 23S ribosomal RNA". It matches the Rfam family "Bacterial large subunit ribosomal RNA", at positions 474 to 951 of the family's 2925-position model. The record is from RNAcentral. Lineage: Bacteria; Pseudomonadati; Pseudomonadota; Gammaproteobacteria; Enterobacterales; Enterobacteriaceae.
UCCUGACUGACCGAUAGUGAACCAGUACCGUGAGGGAAAGGCGAAAAGAACCCCGGCGAGGGGAGUGAAAAAGAACCUGAAACCGUGUACGUACAAGCAGUGGGAGCACGCUUAGGCGUGUGACUGCGUACCUUUUGUAUAAUGGGUCAGCGACUUAUAUUCUGUAGCAAGGUUAACCGAAUAGGGGAGCCGAAGGGAAACCGAGUCUUAACUGGGCGUUAAGUUGCAGGGUAUAGACCCGAAACCCGGUGAUCUAGCCAUGGGCAGGUUGAAGGUUGGGUAACACUAACUGGAGGACCGAACCGACUAAUGUUGAAAAAUUAGCGGAUGACUUGUGGCUGGGGGUGAAAGGCCAAUCAAACCGGGAGAUAGCUGGUUCUCCCCGAAAGCUAUUUAGGUAGCGCCUCGUGAAUUCAUCUCCGGGGGUAGAGCACUGUUUCGGCAAGGGGGUCAUCCCGACUUACCAACCCGAUGCA